RNAcentral lists this ribosomal RNA (908 nucleotides) under uncultured bacterium. RNAcentral's name for it is "bacterial SSU rRNA". It matches the Rfam family "Bacterial small subunit ribosomal RNA", at positions 8 to 917 of the family's 1533-position model. The record is from RNAcentral.
AGAGUUUGAUCAUGGCUCAGAACGAACGCUGGCGGCGUGCUUAACACAUGCAAGUCGAGUGCGCGUGCCGUAGCAAUACGGUAUGGCGCACGGCGCACGGGUGCGUAACACGUGGGUAAUCUGCCCUCUGAUGGGGAAUAACCCGCCGAAAGGCGGGCUAAUACCGCAUAACAUUCCUUGAAUCUCGGUUUGAGGACUCAAAGGCGUAAGUCGUCGGAGGAGGAGCCCGCGCCCGAUUAGCUAGUUGGUAGGGUAAUGGCCUACCAAGGCUUUGAUCGGUAGCUGGUCUGAGAGGAUGGCCAGCCACACUGGAACUGAGACACGGUCCAGACUCCUACGGGAGGCAGCAGUGGGGAAUCUUGCACAAUGGGCGAAAGCCUGAUGCAGCGACGCCGCGUGGGGGAUGAAGCUUCUCGGAGUGUAAACCCCUUUCGAUCCGGACGAAUACCUCGCAAGAGGGGUGACGGUACGGAUAUAAGAAGCCCCGGCUAACUACGUGCCAGCAGCCGCGGUAAGACGUAGGGGGCCAGCGUUGUUCGGAAUUACUGGGUGUAAAGGGUUCGUAGGCGGUGUGGCAAGUUGGGAGUGAAAUCUCUAGGCUCAACCUAGAGGCUGCUUCCAAAACUGCCGUGCUUGAGUGUGGGAGAGGCGCGUGGAAUUGCAGGUGUAGCGGUGAAAUGCGUAGAUAUCUGCAGGAACACCCGUGGCGAAAGCGGCGCGCUGGACCACUACUGACGCUGAGGAACGAAAGCUAGGGGAGCAAACAGGAUUAGAUACCCUGGUAGUCCUAGCCCUAAACGAUCAGGACUUGGGGUGCCACCCGUUCGGGUGUCGUCCCGGAGCUAACGCGUUAAGUCCUGCACCUGGGGAGUACGGUCGCAAGACUGAAACUCAAAGGAAUUGACGGG